GGGGGCAUAGCUCAGUUGGGAGAGCACCUGCUUUGCAAGCAGGAUGUCGUCGGUUCGAUCCCGUCUGCCUCCACCA
RNAcentral lists this transfer RNA (76 nucleotides) under Azospirillum cavernae. Its description in RNAcentral is "Azospirillum sp. K2W22B-5 tRNA-Ala". It matches the Rfam family "tRNA". Rfam says of the family: Transfer RNA (tRNA) molecules are approximately 80 nucleotides in length. Their secondary structure includes four short double-helical elements and three loops (D, anti-codon, and T loops). RNAcentral also lists the same sequence under 2 other names. Lineage: Bacteria; Pseudomonadati; Pseudomonadota; Alphaproteobacteria; Rhodospirillales; Azospirillaceae. The record is from RNAcentral.